UACGUAGGUGGCGAGCGUUAUCUGGAUUUAUUGGGCGUAAAGCGAGCGCAGGUGGUUUAUUAAGUCUGGUGUAAAAGGCAGUGGCUCAACCAUUGUAUGCAUUGGAAACUGGUAGACUUGAGUGCAGGAGAGGAGAGUGGAAUUCCAUGUGUAGCGGUGAAAUGCGUAGAUAUAUGGAGGAACACCGGUGGCGAAAGCGGCUCUCUGGCCUGUAACUGACACUGAGGCUCGAAAGCGUGGGGAGCAAACAGG
RNAcentral lists this ribosomal RNA (252 nucleotides) under uncultured bacterium. Its description in RNAcentral is "partial 16S ribosomal RNA". It matches the Rfam family "Bacterial small subunit ribosomal RNA", at positions 524 to 776 of the family's 1533-position model. The record is from RNAcentral.